GACGAACGCUGGCGGCGUGCCUAGUACAUGCAAGUCGAGCGAAGUUUUUCUGGUGCUUGCCCUAGAAAAACUUAGCGGCGAACGGGUGAGUAACACGUAAAGAACCUGCCUCAUAGACUGGGACAACUAUUGGAAACGAUAGCUAAUACCGGAUAACAGUAUUUCUCGCAUGAGAGAUAUUUAAAAGUUGGUUAUGCUAACACUAUGAGAUGGCUUUGCGGUGCAUUAGCUAGUUGGUGGGGUAAAGGCCCACCAAGGCGACGAUGCAUAGCCGACCUGAGAGGGUGAUCGGCCACACUGGGACUGAGACACGGCCCAGACUCCUACGGGAGGCAGCAGUAGGGAAUCUUCCGCAAUGGGCGAAAGCCUGACGGAGCAACGCCGCGUGAGUGAAGAAGGAUUUCGGUUCGUAAAGCUCUGUUGUUAGGGAAGAAUGGAUGUGUAGUAACUAUACAUGUAAGAGACGGUACCUAACCAGAAAGCCACGGCUAACUACGUG
RNAcentral lists this ribosomal RNA (499 nucleotides) under uncultured bacterium. RNAcentral's name for it is "partial 16S ribosomal RNA". It matches the Rfam family "Bacterial small subunit ribosomal RNA", at positions 28 to 507 of the family's 1533-position model. The record is from RNAcentral.